Malania oleifera is the source of this 106-nucleotide small nucleolar RNA. The record is from RefSeq and is a predicted model, not a curated record. Lineage: Eukaryota; Viridiplantae; Streptophyta; Magnoliopsida; Santalales; Ximeniaceae.
ACUUGAUGAUGUUGGCAUGUAUGAAGAAGGUCCCUAAAACACUCCCAAGUUUCGAAAAAUUUCUCACCAUCUAUCUGUGAGAAACUAGUGAUGGCUCUCCUAAGCU